CUUUUCUCUGCACAUAUUUUAACUGCCAUGUCAGUAUUAAUGAACUGGUACUAAUACAUAAGUACUUCUAUGUACUUCAUGCAUUAAUGCUGGCACCCAUGAAUAACAUAUA
RNAcentral lists this non-coding RNA (112 nucleotides) under Callithrix jacchus (white-tufted-ear marmoset). RNAcentral's name for it is "Mitochondrial DNA control region secondary structure A". It matches the Rfam family "Mitochondrial DNA control region secondary structure A". Lineage: Eukaryota; Metazoa; Chordata; Mammalia; Primates; Cebidae. The record is from Rfam by way of RNAcentral.